ACCCUUGUGGAGGAGGACGCCGAAGGUGGGGCUAAUGACUGGGGUGAAGUCGUAACAAGGUAGCCGUACCGGAAGGUGCGGCUGGAUCACCUCCUAACAGGGAGACAACAAAAUGUAAAUAUUAAUUUUGUCACCUUAGGUCGAUCGGUAUCUCAGAUUCUUAUUUUUUAAGAAUUUCAGUCUCUAAGUUUUUUCUAGGUCACACCCAUCACUUUUUCCUGGGCCAUUAGCUCAGGUGGUUAGAGCGCACCCCUGAUAAGGGUGAGGUCCCUGGUUCAAGUCCAGGAUGGCCCAUAUCUCUAUGUUGGGGGUAUAGCUCAGUUGGUAGAGCGCCUGCUUUGCAAGCAGGAUGUCAGCGGUUCGAGUCCGCUUACCUCCACUGAAUACCACCUCUUACAUAUAUUUAAAGAGGGAAAUUGUUUUGAGUUGUGUCCUAAUUUGCUCUGAGCGAAUCUAGCUUCCUAUUUAAUCAAUAAAUAAGAUGCUGGACUCAUUGAUUUUUUUCAUUGUUUUCAGAGAACCUUGACAACUGCAUAGAUUAUUUUUGAAGACAAUAAGCAUCUUUAAUGAUGCAGAUUUAUUAUUUGUGCGAAUGCAUUAAAUAACAAUUCUAUUAAGCUGAUGCUUCAAUUAUUGAAGUUAUUGGUCAAGCUACAAAGGGCUCACGGAGGAUACCUAGGCAC
Molecule: unclassified non-coding RNA, 683 nt
Filed under: uncultured Prochlorococcus sp.
Lineage: Bacteria; Bacillati; Cyanobacteriota; Cyanophyceae; Synechococcales; Prochlorococcaceae
Description: partial may contain 16S ribosomal RNA, 16S-23S ribosomal RNA intergenic spacer, and 23S ribosomal RNA
Rfam family: Bacterial small subunit ribosomal RNA (bases 1-97)
Source: RNAcentral